CAGUCGCCGCGUGAAAACGAAGGGUGCAAGCGUUAAUCGGAAUUACUGGGCGUAAAGCGCGCGUAGGUGGUUUGGUAAGAUGGAUGUGAAAUCCCCGGGCUCAACCUGGGAACUGCAUCCAUAACUGCCUGACUAGAGUACGGUAGAGGGUGGUGGAAUUUCCUGUGUAGCGGUGAAAUGCGUAGAUAUAGGAAGGAACACCAGUGGCGAAGGCGACCACCUGGACUGAUACUGACACUGAGGUGCGAAAGCGUGGGGAGCAAACAGGAUUAGAUACCCCGGUAGUCCCUGUCUCUUAUAC
Molecule: ribosomal RNA, 301 nt
Filed under: uncultured bacterium
Lineage: Bacteria
Description: partial 16S ribosomal RNA
Rfam family: Bacterial small subunit ribosomal RNA
Source: RNAcentral